RNAcentral lists this ribosomal RNA (408 nucleotides) under uncultured bacterium. Its description in RNAcentral is "partial 16S ribosomal RNA". It matches the Rfam family "Bacterial small subunit ribosomal RNA", at positions 28 to 526 of the family's 1533-position model. The record is from RNAcentral.
GACGAACGCUGGCGGCGUGCUUAACACAUGCAAGUCGAACGGAGUGACGAACGGGCGAGUAACACGUGGGUGAGCUGCCCUGCACUUCGGGAUAAGCCUGGGUAAAUGGGUCUACUACCGGCGAGUGUGGGAUGGGCCCGCGGCCUAUGAGCUUGUUGGGGGGGUAAUGGCCUACCAAGGCGGCGACGGGUAGCCGGCCUGGGAGGGUGGACGGACACCAUAGGACUGAGACACGGCCCAGACGCGUACGGGGGGCAGCAGGGGGGACUAUUGCGCAGUGGGGGGAAGUCUGAGAAAGAGGCGCUGCGUGGGGGAUGUUGGCCUUCGGGUUAUAAACGCCUUUCACCAUAGACGCGGUAGAUGGAGAAGAAGCACCGGCUAACUACGUGCCAGCAGCCGCGGUAAUAC